AGAGUUUGAUCAUGGCUCAGAUUGAACGCUGGCGGCAGGCCUAACACAUGCAAGUCGAACGGUAACAGGAAACAGCUUGCUGUUUCGCUGACGAGUGGCGGACGGGUGAGUAAUGUCUGGGAAACUGCCUGAUGGAGGGGGAUAACUACUGGAAACGGUAGCUAAUACCGCAUAACGUCGCAAGACCAAAGAGGGGGACCUUCGGGCCUCUUGCCAUCAGAUGUGCCCAGAUGGGAUUAGCUAGUAGGUGGGGUAACGGCUCACCUAGGCGACGAUCCCUAGCUGGUCUGAGAGGAUGACCAGCCACACUGGAACUGAGACACGGUCCGGACUCCUACGGGAGGCAGCAGUGGGGAAUAUUGCACAAUGGGCGCAAGCCUGAUGCAGCCAUGCCGCGUGUAUGAAGAAGGCCUUCGGGUUGUAAAGUACUUUCAGCGGGGAGGAAGGGAGUAAAGUUAAUACCUUUGCUCAUUGACGUUACCCGCAGAAGAAGCACCGGCUAACUCCGUGCCAGCAGCCGCGGUAAUACGGAGGGUGCAAGCGUUAAUCGGAAUUACUGGGCGUAAAGCGCACGCAGGCGGUUUGUUAAGUCAGAUGUGAAAUCCCCGGGCUCAACCUGGGAACUGCACCUGAUACUGGCAAGCUUGAGUCUCGUAGAGGGGGGUAGAAUUCCAGGUGUAGCGGUGAAAUGCGUAGAGAUCUGGAGGAAUACCGGUGGCGAAGGCGGCCCCCUGGACGAAGACUGACGCUCAGGUGCGAAAGCGUGGGGAGCAAACAGGAUUAGAUACCCUGGUAGUCCACGCCGUAAACGAUGUCGACUUGGAGGUUGUGCCCUUGAGGCGUGGCUUCCGGAGCUAACGCGUUAAGUCGACCGCCUGGGGAGUACGGCCGCAAGGUUAAAACUCAAAUGAAUUGACGGGGGCCCGCACAAGCGGUGGAGCAUGUGGUUUAAUUCGAUGCAACGCGAAGAACCUUACCUGGUCUUGACAUCCACGGAAGUUUUCAGAGAUGAGAAUGUGCCUUCGGGAACCGUGAGACAGGUGCUGCAUGGCUGUCGUCAGCUCGUGUUGUGAAAUGUUGGGUUAAGUCCCGCAACGAGCGCAACCCUUAUCCUUUGUUGCCAGCGGUCCGGCCGGGAACUCAAAGGAGACUGCCAGUGAUAAACUGGAGGAAGGUGGGGAUGACGUCAAGUCAUCAUGGCCCUUACGACCAGGGCUACACACGUGCUACAAUGGCGCAUACAAAGAGAAGCGACCUCGCGAGAGCAAGCGGACCUCAUAAAGUGCGUCGUAGUCCGGAUUGGAGUCUGCAACUCGACUCCAUGAAGUCGGAGUCGCUAGUAAUCGUGGAUCAGAAUGCCACGGUGAAUACGUUCCCGGGCCUUGUACACACCGCCCGUCACACCAUGGGAGUGGGUUGCAAAAGAAGUAGGUAGCUUAACCUUCGGGAGGGCGCUUACCACUUUGUGAUUCAUGACUGGGGUGAAGUCGUAACAAGGUAACCGUAGGGGACCUGCGGUUG
RNAcentral lists this ribosomal RNA (1521 nucleotides) under metagenome. Its description in RNAcentral is "bacterial SSU rRNA". It matches the Rfam family "Bacterial small subunit ribosomal RNA". The record is from RNAcentral.